GUUGUAGCACCGGUUCCCGUACGAUCGCCAAAGUUAAGCAACGUCAGUACCUAGAUGGGUAACCGCUUGGGAAUACCAGGUGCUGAA
Acanthosepion pharaonis is the source of this 87-nucleotide non-coding RNA. NCBI's taxonomy places the organism in Eukaryota, Metazoa, Mollusca, Cephalopoda, Sepiida, Sepiidae. The record is from the annotation of a GenBank genome assembly.